CCUACGGGAGGCUGCAGGGGGGAAGAGGGGACAAUGGGGGGAACCCUGAUCCAGCCAUGCCGCGUGUGUGAAGAAGGCCCUCGGGUUGUAAAGCACUUUCAGUGAGGAAGAACGCCUGGUGGUUAAUACCCAUCAGGAAAGACAUCACUCACAGAAGAAGCACCGGCUAACUCCGUGCCAGCAGCCGCGGUAAUACGGAGGGUGCGAGCGUUAAUCGGAAUUACUGGGCGUAAAGCGCGCGUAGGUGGCUUGAUAAGCCGGUUGUGAAAGCCCCGGGCUCAACCUGGGAACGGCAUCCGGAACUGUCAAGCUAGAGUGCAGGAGAGGAAGGUAGAAUUCCCGGUGUAGCGGUGAAAUGGUUCCCCCACGGGAGGAAUACCAGUGGCGAAGGCGGCCUUCUGGACUGACACUGACACUGAGGUGCGAAAGCGUGGGUAGCAAACAGGAUUAGAUACCCUGGUAGUC
This 465-nucleotide ribosomal RNA is filed under the name Vreelandella stevensii. Its description in RNAcentral is "partial 16S ribosomal RNA". It matches the Rfam family "Bacterial small subunit ribosomal RNA", at positions 338 to 795 of the family's 1533-position model. The record is from RNAcentral. Lineage: Bacteria; Pseudomonadati; Pseudomonadota; Gammaproteobacteria; Oceanospirillales; Halomonadaceae.